Molecule: long non-coding RNA, 101 nt
Organism: Sander lucioperca (pikeperch)
Lineage: Eukaryota; Metazoa; Chordata; Actinopteri; Perciformes; Percidae
Exons: 3
Source: RefSeq, a predicted model, not a curated record
UUAUUAUAUAUUUUUUUUAAGAUCAGAGGAACGUUUGUUGAUGGAUAAUCACAGACUGUCAAAGGUAAGUCAGAAUAAUGCUAUACAAUUGAAUAAAACAC